Molecule: ribosomal RNA, 253 nt
Filed under: uncultured bacterium
Lineage: Bacteria
Description: partial 16S ribosomal RNA
Rfam family: Bacterial small subunit ribosomal RNA
Source: RNAcentral
UACGUAGGGGGCGAGCGUUAUCCGGAUUCACUGGGCGUAAAGGGAGCGCAGGCGGCACGGCAAGUCCGGUGUGAAAGCCCGGGGCCCAACCCCGGGACUGCACUGGAAACUGCCGGGCUGGAGUGUCGGAGGGGCAGGCGGAAUUCCUAGUGUAGCGGUGAAAUGCGUAGAUAUAGGGAGGAACACCGGUGGCGAAGGCGGCCUGCUGGACGACGACUGACGCUGAGGCUCGAAAGCGUGGGGAGCAAACAGG